This is a long non-coding RNA of Bos taurus (domestic cattle), 1131 nucleotides long. The record is from Ensembl. NCBI's taxonomy places the organism in Eukaryota, Metazoa, Chordata, Mammalia, Artiodactyla, Bovidae.
GUUUCAUUCUUAGGCAACACGGAAGUUCUCACAAAGAGGCGUCUAGAACCUCCACUACGUGAAGUUCAAAGCGAGAAAAUAUUUUAUCUGCUGAAUGAUUAAUUCCAAAAGAAAGAAGCAAAUUACCAAGUGACAUAUUUUGAUGUAUUAAUAUUUCUGGAAUUCUGCAUAAUGGAUGAGUUGCAGAGCGUGAUGGAAGAGGAAUCAGAGGACACCCAUCUCCACGGGCCCAAGAUUGCUAAUUCUGACGUCCAAUCUGCCAUUUGAUACCAGCAGUGUGAGUUGUCAACACAAAUAAUAAAUUGACAGACAGGAGGAGGAGCUGGCUCACGUCUCUGGAGGAAGUUUCCAGACACCGAUUGCUGCAUGAAUUUGCAUCAAGACUGAACAGCAGGAGACGGUGGUCUAUUCUCAGCUGACCCUCCUGGGUGUCUCUGGACCCCAUAUCAGACUUCGUUGCCACACACCCAUUAUAGAAGUUUAAGGAAUUUUGAGGUAAGCAUGAGAGCAUUAGCAGGCUCAUUAGCCUGCUUCCUGAGUCAGCUGUCAACAUUCUGCCUUCAAAUUCAAGAUGAAUGAAAACAGAACAUGAGCGGAAAGACUUGUGAUCGACUGGGGAGGUGGACAUUCCUCCAGGGACCGGUUGACUUGAAUUAUUUCGUGUAUCAGGCUGUCUGAAGUUUAUCGCAUCUUUCCAUUGGGGUUUUGAUAUUCUGGAAUUCCCAAAACCUGUGUGAGAGUAGGGUUGUGGGCCCAGGAGAUGGUAAAUUCCUUACCGGCAAAAAGAAUGUACUUUCCCAGUGACGCUUGCAGCUCAUGGCAAUGUUCCUGCUGAAUGUUGGGUGCCAAGUGAAUGUUGGUUGAAGUGAAACUGCAGUUUGAUCUGAGUAGCUCAUUACAGUAUCACACACACCUAGGUCUCUUCCACAGUUGACUUCUCUGAGUCAUUGUAUAGAAUGGGGAAUACGGCCAAAAUUUUAUAAUAACUCUAAAUGGAGUAUAAUAAAAAAAUAUAGAAUCACAAAGAGUCGGGGCGACGGGAAGCAUGUGACCCCAGCAUGCCGAUUAAACGGCCGCGCAGAAGAGAAGCCAGCAGAUUUGCAUGUGAUAUUCGAUGAGACACCUCUGUGA